UAACAAUCGGUGAAAACUGUCAGUUUUUCGUAAAAUUUUCGUCGGUUUCCGGACUAUCAAUACCCCCAAAGAUACAAUACAGGUUAGGUUAUAGCGGGUUAUGCGACCGAUGUUCAGAAUCGUUUUCCGUUAGUGCGCUAAUAUAAAUCGUUGCGUCGGUUCGUCAUCGUUGCGCAUCACGGACGUAAAUCGAAUUGACUUUUAAAAACGAAUAACAUAAUUCUACGUGUAGGUGUUACAUACAACUUUAUAACAUUAUACCGUCAUC
Molecule: non-coding RNA, 268 nt
Organism: Cinara cedri
Lineage: Eukaryota; Metazoa; Arthropoda; Insecta; Hemiptera; Aphididae
Source: the annotation of a GenBank genome assembly